Molecule: non-coding RNA, 716 nt
Organism: Girardinichthys multiradiatus
Lineage: Eukaryota; Metazoa; Chordata; Actinopteri; Cyprinodontiformes; Goodeidae
Source: the annotation of a RefSeq genome assembly
AUGACACUUCCACCUCCAUGCUUAACAACUGACAAUAAAUCCAACUAUUUGGUGGGGGGUGUUAAUUAUCACAUUAGAGUGCCAGAGUUUAAUAUUUUCAUCUUUCAUAAAGUUCUAGUUCUGAUAUUUUGUUUGUGUCAAAGUCAGAGAGCCGUGUCUCUACAGUCAGAGGUUUUUGUACGACGGCUCAAUGAGUUUGUAUCACUGUGGUACACGUUCGGUGGAGGAACCAGACUGGAUGUUGGAAGUGAUACUCGUCCCACCCUGACAGUGCUGCCCCCCUCCAGUGAGGAGCUGCAGCAGGGGAAGGCCACUCUCAUGUGUCUGGCCAACAAGGGCUUCCCUUCAGGCUGGAGUCUGUCCUGGAAGGUGGACGGCAGCAGCAGCAGCAGCAGCAGCAGCUGGGAGCAGAGCAGGAGCCCCGGGGUGCUGCAGAAGGACGGCCUCUACAGCUGGAGCAGCACCCUGAGGCUCCCUGCAGACCAGUGGAGGAAGGUGGGCUCUGUGACCUGUGAGGCCACCCAGGGCUCCCAGACUGCAGUCACAAAGUCCCUGAGGAGAGACCAGUGUUCCCAGUCCUGACAUCACUUACUGGGAGUUAAUUGUUUCUUACAUUUUUACUGAUGUUACUUUGGCUGUUUCUUUUCUUGUCUUUAUCUGUCCAAUAAAGUUCUAAUUCAAAUUUACAGAUUAAAGACAUUUUCUUCAAAUCAAAA